AUCUUGUUAUGUGUUUUUCUAGAGUCAGGGCAAUCCUGUCACACCAGUCCCCCCACCAACCUGUCAGAGAAUCAAUGUGCCUCUCUGUGCCAACCUGCCAUAUACUGAAACCAUCAUGCCAAAUAUGCUGGGCCACAAAUCCCAGGAUGAAGCUGCCACCGCGAUACGACAGUUUUCUUCACUUGUUAGAGGACAAUGCUCCUCUCAUCUGAAGCCAUUCCUGUGCUCUGUCUACACGCCCAAAUGUGUGUCAGGAAGAGCACAGCCUCCAUGCAGAAGUCUGUGUGAGAAAGCAAAGUCUGAGUGUGCGACAUCGAUGACGAACCUCCGCUUUCAGUGGCCUGAAGCCUUAAAGUGUGAAGCAUUCACCACAGAGUCCUGUGAGGAGGGUCAGGAUGUCUCAGUCGCACCAACUCUUCCAACGCCAACCUGUCAGAGAAUCACAAUGAGUCUCUGUGCCGACCUGCCUUACAAUGACACCAUCAUGCCAAAUAUUCUGGGACACAAAUCCCAGGAUGAAGCUGGUUCAGCAGUAUUUCAAUUUCUUCCACUUGUUGGAACGAAAUGCUCCCCUCAUCUGAAGCCCUUCCUUUGCUCUGUCUACACGCCUAAAUGUGUUUCAGGAAGCCGUCAGGCUCCCUGCAGAGCUCUCUGUGAGCAGGCACGCUCUGGCUGUUUGCCAAUAUUGACAAUUAUUGGCUUUCAAUGGCCUCAGCAUCUAAAAUGUGAAGAGUUUACCUUGGAGUCCUGUGAAUAGGACUUUGCAAUUUCGUAAGUCAUGAAUAUCAGACCAGUGCUAAAAUUCUGCCUCUUUGGUGAUAGCUUUAUGGUCUUAGCUGUAAUUGCAAAUAGAGCAACAUAACAAUUAUUUGAUAAACAUUGAUCACCACAUAUAUAAUGAGACCAGUUUGCUUCAAGUUUUGCAUUAAAGACCUACUAUAA
Non-coding RNA from Oryzias latipes (Japanese medaka), 942 nucleotides. The record is from RefSeq and is a predicted model, not a curated record. NCBI's taxonomy places the organism in Eukaryota, Metazoa, Chordata, Actinopteri, Beloniformes, Adrianichthyidae.